Molecule: ribosomal RNA, 301 nt
Filed under: uncultured bacterium
Lineage: Bacteria
Description: partial 16S ribosomal RNA
Rfam family: Bacterial small subunit ribosomal RNA
Source: RNAcentral
CAGUAGCCGCGGGAAUACAGAGGGUGCAAGCGUUAAUCGGAUUCACUGGGCGUAAAGGGUGUGUAGGAGGUCAGAUAAGUCAGGUGUGAAAUCCCACUGCUCAACAGUGGAACUGCAUUCGAUACUGUUUGACUAGAGGCUUGGAGGGGGAAGCGGAAUUCUUGGUGUAGCGGUGAAAUGCGUAGAUAUCAGGAGGAACACCGGUGGCGAAGGCGGUUCUCUGGGAAUGUUCUGACGCUGAGGAGCGAAAGUGUGGGGAGCGAACAGGAUUAGAUACCCGCGUAGUCCCUGUCUCUUAUAC